AGUGAACGCUGGCGGUAGGCCUAACACAUGCAAGUCGAACGGCAGCACAGUAAGAGCUUGCUCUUACGGGUGGCGAGUGGCGGACGGGUGAGGAAUACAUCGGAAUCUACUUUUUCGUGGGGGAUAACGUAGGGAAACUUACGCUAAUACCGCAUACGACCUACGGGUGAAAGCAGGGGAUCUUCGGACCUUGCGCGAUUGAAUGAGCCGAUGUCGGAUUAGCUAGUUGGCGGGGUAAAGGCCCACCAAGGCGACGAUCCGUAGCUGGUCUGAGAGGAUGAUCGGCAAACUGGAACCGGGAAACGGUCCCGGCUUCUACGGGAGGGAGCAGGUGGGAAUAUUGGACAAUGGGCGCAAGCCUGAUCCAGCCAUACCGCGUGGGUGAAGAAGGCCUUCGGGUUGUAAAGCCCUUUUGUUGGGAAAGAAAAGCAGCAGGUUAAUACCCCGCUGUUCUGACGGUACCCAAAGAAUAAGCACCGGCUAACUUCGUG
This 491-nucleotide ribosomal RNA is filed under the name uncultured bacterium. RNAcentral's name for it is "partial 16S ribosomal RNA". It matches the Rfam family "Bacterial small subunit ribosomal RNA", at positions 29 to 507 of the family's 1533-position model. The record is from RNAcentral.